This 613-nucleotide ribosomal RNA is filed under the name Compostelandrilus menciae. RNAcentral describes it as "eukaryotic LSU rRNA". The stretch from base 429 to 613 matches the Rfam family "Eukaryotic large subunit ribosomal RNA", at positions 665 to 817 of the family's 3401-position model. Lineage: Eukaryota; Metazoa; Annelida; Clitellata; Crassiclitellata; Lumbricidae. The record is from RNAcentral.
GAAACCGUCUAGAGGCAAACGGAGAGGACCGUAUGGUCCACCCGUCGGAUUCAGUCCGCCUGCGCGGCGCGGGCGUCGGUUGCGCAUCCCUCGUGGGAGCGCGCCGGCGUCUCGUUCGUCGUGCGGCGGCCGUACUUUCGGCGGGUGGAGCGCCACCAUGGGUUCGCGGGCGGCGAGAAACUCCCGGGCAAGGUGACCUUCGCUUCGGCGCAGGAGCAUACAGGCCCGGUGAGCGCAGGCCCGUCUGCGGACCGAGGAAGACCGUCGCGGUGCGGCGUCGACCGCCCGUCGUGGGCGCGCGUUCGACUCGGGGGGACUGGUUUCAGUGCCCUCGGACUGCGUGCGUCUAGCGGCGGGACGGCCCGGCGUCGCGCCUGGUAUGAGUGGCGUAACGGCCGGCAACCUGUCCGACCCGUCUUGAAACACGGACCAAGGAGUCUAACAUGUGCGCGAGUCGUUGGGCGUUACGAAACCCGAAGGCGCAAUGAAAGUGAAGGCCCGGUCUCCGGCCGGCCUGGGUGCGAUCCGGACGGUCACGGCCGUUCGGCGCAGCACCGGCCCGUCUCCAUCGCCACGUCGAGGAGGCGGAGCAAGAGCGUACACGUUGGGACCC